UAGUCUGAUUUCUUGGUGUGUGUUGGG
This 27-nucleotide non-coding RNA is filed under the name Mus musculus (house mouse). The record is from RNAcentral. Lineage: Eukaryota; Metazoa; Chordata; Mammalia; Rodentia; Muridae.